CCUACGGGCAGCAGCAGUGGGGGAUAUUGCACAAUGGGGGAAACCCUGAUGCAGCGACGCCGCGUGGGUGAAGAAGCGCCUCGGCGCGUAAAGCCCUGUCAGCAGGGAAGAAAAUGACGGUACCUGAAGAAGAAGCCCCGGCUAACUACGUGCCAGCAGCCGCGGUAAUACGUAGGGGGCAAGCGUUAUCCGGAUUUACUGGGUGUAAAGGGGGCGCAGACGGCGAUGCAAGCCAGGAGUGAAAGCCCGGGGCCCAACCCCGGGACUGCUCUUGGAACUGCGUGGCUAGAGUGCAGGAGGGGCAGGCGGAAUUCCUGGUGUAGUGGUGAAAUGCGUAGAUAUCAGGAGGAACACCGGUGGCGAAGGCGGCCUGCUGGACUGCAACUGACGUUGAGGCCCGAAAGCGUGGGGAGCAAACAGGAUUAGAUACCCCAGUAGUC
Molecule: ribosomal RNA, 440 nt
Filed under: uncultured bacterium
Lineage: Bacteria
Description: partial 16S ribosomal RNA
Rfam family: Bacterial small subunit ribosomal RNA
Source: RNAcentral